Podarcis lilfordi (Lilford's wall lizard) is the source of this 71-nucleotide non-coding RNA. The record is from the annotation of a GenBank genome assembly. Lineage: Eukaryota; Metazoa; Chordata; Lepidosauria; Squamata; Lacertidae.
GGGCCAUAGCUCAGUGGUAUAUCAUACGUCUUGCAUGCAGAAAGUCCCAGGUUCAAUCCCUGCUGGCAUCC